UACGGGGGGGGCAAGCGUUGUUCGGAAUUACUGGGCGUAAAGGGCUCGUAGGCGGCCAACUAAGUCAGACGUGAAAUCCCCAGGCUCAACCUGGGAACUGCGUCUGAUACUGGAUGGCUUGAAUCCGGGAGAGGGAUGCAGAAUUCCAGGUGUAGCGGUGAAAUGCGUAGAUAUCUGGAGGAAUACCGGUGGCGAAGGCGGCAUCCUGGACCGGCAUUGACGCUGAGGCGCGAAAGCUAGGGGAGCAAACAGG
Molecule: ribosomal RNA, 253 nt
Filed under: uncultured bacterium
Lineage: Bacteria
Description: partial 16S ribosomal RNA
Rfam family: Bacterial small subunit ribosomal RNA
Source: RNAcentral